GGAAGAAACUCUACAUGUUCCUGCGGCGCUCCGGCCUCUACUACUCCACUAAAGGAACAUCCAAGGAGCCCCGACACCUGCAGCUGCUGUCAGAAUCUGGAGGACAGUAACAUCUUCACCAUCAUCACGGGACGAAAAGCUCCACAACGCUCCCACAGAAUACCAGUUCUGCAUCAAGCCCAGCAAAGUGAGGAGCGACUGUAAGGAGCUUAAGAUGCUGUGUGCUGAGACGAACAGAGCAG
Long non-coding RNA from Etheostoma spectabile (orangethroat darter), 242 nucleotides. RefSeq lists it as uncharacterized. The transcript is spliced from 3 exons. NCBI's taxonomy places the organism in Eukaryota, Metazoa, Chordata, Actinopteri, Perciformes, Percidae. The record is from RefSeq and is a predicted model, not a curated record.